AAUAGUCUAACGACUGAACCAGCAACUUGGGAGAAUGUAUGAGUUAUACUAAAAAGUAUAAUAUAGAGAAAUCUAUUAAAAUUCUAAAUAAAAUUUGAUGAUGACAUUUUUUAUUUAUAUGUCUUGACCAAAUCACGUGCCAGCAGUCGCGGCAAUACGUGGAAGACUAGUGUUAUUCAUCUUAAAUGGGUUUAAAGGGUACCUAGACGGUCAAAUAAACCUAUAUAAAAAGGUACUUUUUGACUAGAGUUUAAUGUAAGAGGGAUAAAUAGAACAAGUAGAGUAGAGAUGAAAUUUUUUGAUACACUUUGUAGACUGAUAUAGGCGAAAGCAACCUUUUAAGUAAAAACUGACGUUGAGGGACGAAGGCUACGAUAAACGAACAGGAUUAGUUACCCAAGUAAUGAGUGCUGUAAAUGAUGAAUGCCAUAUGUAAGAUAAAUAAUAUUUUGUGUAUAAAUGAAAGUGUAAGCAUUCCACCUCAAGAGUAAAGUGGCAACGCAGGAACUGAAAUCAUUAGACCGUUUCUGAGAACAGUAGUGAAGUAUGUUGUUUAAUUUGAUAGCCCACGGAAAACCUUACCACAAUUUGAAUAUAUAUGUAUAUACAUAUAUACAAGCGUUGCACGGCUGUCUUCAGUUAAUGUCGUGAGAUUGUGAUUAGAUUCAUAAAAUUAACGUAAACCCUUAUUUUAUUUUUAAUAAAGUAGUACCUUAACUAUAUUAAGUUGGUAAUAGGGACCAAGACAAGUCAUCAUGGCCUUAACAUUGUGGGCUAUAGACGUGCCACAGAAUCCUAUACAAAAAGAAGCUAAAUUGUGAAAUUUAGCUAAUCUUUAAAAAUCGGAAAAAUAU
RNAcentral lists this ribosomal RNA (854 nucleotides) under Cryptodiscus gloeocapsa. RNAcentral's name for it is "SSU rRNA". It matches the Rfam family "Bacterial small subunit ribosomal RNA", at positions 370 to 1293 of the family's 1533-position model. The record is from RNAcentral. Lineage: Eukaryota; Fungi; Ascomycota; Lecanoromycetes; Ostropales; Stictidaceae.